Molecule: non-coding RNA, 299 nt
Organism: Pelobates cultripes (western spadefoot toad)
Lineage: Eukaryota; Metazoa; Chordata; Amphibia; Anura; Pelobatidae
Source: the annotation of a GenBank genome assembly
CUACCUUCACUUUAUUAUAUUAAUAUUCAAUUUCUAUCUCUAACACUACUUAUCACUCACACAUGCACCCAGACAGACAAACACAAACAAAAAAAUAUUCCUCUCCUUUCUCCUUUUCUUUUGUUGUUCCCCUACCACAUUUUACUUUCCCUUUCCUAGUCCUUUUCUACCUGUUCCGUUUCCUAUCCCUUGUUCCAUGCGGUGUGGAAUAAAGACUGCAUAUAUUCUUUAUCUCUUUGUCUUUUCCAUUUUCUGUACCGUCUUACUUCCUCCUUUCUCUAUCCCUAUAUCCCCCUUUC